AUUCAUACCCCCAUCCUACCCUGAUGUGAUCAUGGGAACCACGUUUUCUCUGCAGCCAGGAGAUACACUUUUAUUCAGCCCCGGGGGUUUUCACUCAAAUAGUUGAUUCACUUUGGCUUUCAUCAGUUUCUUCCUCUUGACUCCCCCUUGAUUUUCCUCUAUGCCUCUAAGUCUGCAAACCCUCCAGUGGGGUUGACAUCCUGCACUCCUAAGGAGUCUGGGCAUGUUUCUAAACCUGGAGGCCUUUUCCUUAGUUGUCUCAGAGUGUUGGGUUGUUGUUGUAGUCAACUUUUUCUUAUUUUUCCCUCCUGUGAUGAAAAACAAAAGUUAUAUAUUCUGAUUGAAAAUAAUUUGAGAUUAUCUAAAGAGAAAUUAAAGUUCACUCGAAAUUCCUCUGUCCUGAGAUAUUUACCCAUUAACAGUUAGCCAUCCUUG
RNAcentral lists this long non-coding RNA (435 nucleotides) under Homo sapiens (human). RNAcentral describes it as "HSALNT0245771". Lineage: Eukaryota; Metazoa; Chordata; Mammalia; Primates; Hominidae. The record is from RNAcentral.